Molecule: long non-coding RNA, 2538 nt
Filed under: Sus scrofa (pig)
Lineage: Eukaryota; Metazoa; Chordata; Mammalia; Artiodactyla; Suidae
Description: lncRNA (ENSSSCG00050040369.1)
Source: RNAcentral
UUUUUUUUUUUUUUUUUUGUCUUUUUACAGUUGCACCUGUGGCAUAUGGAAGUUCCCAGCCUAGGGGUCGAAUCAUAGCUGCAGCUGCCAGCCACAGCCAGAUUCUUAACCCACUGCGCUAGGCUGGGGAUUGAACCUGGGCUUCAGCAGCCACAUGAGCUUCUGCAGAGACCACACCAGAUCCCUGACGCACUGAGCCACAGUGUGAACUCCUCAAUAUUGUGAUUUAUUAUAAUUGUUGAAGCAUUAAUUCUCCCACCAUACGAAUGGCUGAUAUUUAGGAACACUUAAUUGUGGGUCAAGUGCUACAUUAUUUCAUUUAAUCUUCAUGUGUUACAGAUGAGGAAACUGAACACAUGCAACGAAGCCAGGGGGAAGCCAAGAUACGAAUCUACACAUUCCACUCUUUAGCCCUAGAUCUUAACUCUAUACCAGUGGUUUUCAGUGGGGGUAGUUUUGCCUCCUGUGAGACAUUCAGCAGUAUCUGGAGACAUUUUUGAUGGCUGCAACUGGAAUGUGGGAGGAAGCUACUGGUAUCUAGUGGGCAGAGGCCAGUGACGUUGCUAGGCACCCUGCAAGACACAGGGCAGCUCCUCACAGCAAAGAAUUAUUCAGUUCCAAAUGUUAAUAGUUCAGAGGCUGAGAAACACUGCUCUACCCUAAAUUAACUCCUGUGGAUUGACCCAAGAGACUCUGAGCAUCUCCACAGCAAGGAUUUUUAAAUGUUCACCAUGGUGUCUUGGCACCUACCAUAGAGCCUGGUACUCAGUAGAUGCUCAAUGCGUAUGUGAUGGAUGGGACAGAUGGGUGGAAGGAUGGGUGCUGGGAUGGAUGGAUGGGUGGAGGGAUGAGGGGAUGGAUGCAGAAAUGGAAGGAUGGAUCAAUUCCAGGAGCAAAGAAACAAGUUUACCUAUUUUAAGGCUUGUUUUUUGUGACAACUUUGAUAAAGAUAAAUCUGCGCACGCGCGCACACACACACACACACACACACACACACACACACACUGGUAAUUAACAGUAAAUGAAUGCGUGCAGGGCACAUUCCAGGGGAUGCCCUCACCUUAGCAACAACUUACAUUUAUGAUUCUAGAGUGUGAGAUCAAAUUAAUUCACCAAAUGGCUAGAAUUAGUUUUUCUAAAGAGUCCCCUUCAAGCACUACACUAGAGGAUAAACUGGUAUGUUCCUCAUCCACACAGGCCACCACUCAAAUUGUUUUUUAAAAAGACUUUCUGAAUAAGGCUCCCCUGGUUUCUUUUCUUUUAAAUAAAAGCCAAAUAACAAGAGAAUAUACAAUCUCAUGCUUUCCCCUGUUGUAACUACAAUUCAGACAUAAAUUCAUUAUUCUAGAUUUCCAGAUGCUGGAGGUAGAGUAGAAAUUACAAUGAAUCUUAGGUGAAGUUUUGAAGGGUAAACAAAAACAUACAUACCGGAAAGAAACCACUCUCUGGCUUCUGUAACUAAUAUAUCUAAAUACCAGAAAUGAAGCCAAGAAAAGAUAUAUUUCAUGAUUAUAAGAUUUUUAAAAUACCAGCAAUUUAGCCUGAUUUUUACAGCAGCACAAACCCUUCAACAAUGGCAGCGUUAAUAAGUGCUGAACAUGAACUGAUAGAUUUUCUACAGAAAAGCAAAAAGGUUCAGCUGUAGGGCUGGCUCCUUUGAGUUACUACUUAUUAUAAAAUGUAGUCAGAAGUUAAAACAAAUGAGACUAAUUUUUAAGUGUAAUACUCUCAACUAUGCCUCACAACUUUGCAUUGAACUCUGCAGUUUUAUACAAGCACACACACACACAACCAAAGAAUACAAUAACCAAAUAAGUUUUGGUACCUGUCCUCACUCUUGGAGAUUCAUAGUGCAACAUAAGCAUAAAAGCAGGCUCUGAACACACUUGCGUUAGGUUGUUAAACUCAGGAUUUCCCAUAGAGCGGCAUCAAUAAAAAGUAAAAUCAGAUGAGGAUCUGCCAAAACAUUCGGAAGUAUGGAAAAAGGCUAAAAGUGGUGACAGGAUUUGAAGCUGGGGACACCAGUGUGACUGGGGCAUUUCUCACCAUGGGAACCAUGACUGAAGCCAGAGACAAGCUGUGCCUUUGUCACCGUAGGUGAGAACAUGACACACACUUGUCACAGAGGCAGAUUGUUCUUGUACAGACACGCAAGUUAGUGAGAUGUUUAUGCACAGGAGAGAGGAAAAGAAAAGGUUAACCCAAACUCAGGAAUGUCACAAUCACUGACAUCAAUCAUGAUUUUUGGAGCACCUAUUCUGUGGAACCAUUGUGGAAAAUCUGGGAAAAUAGUCUUAAAGGAAACAAAAGAGGGGCAAGUAUAGCUGAACCACCUUGAGAUCCACUAAACAACAUGUCACAAGAGCCAGACCAUUUAAUGGGCUGCUGAAUGUCAUGAUCAUACAUUUUGCCACUAAAACCAUGACAAUCUCCUCCAGUCUCCUCAUCGUAGACACUCCUAGGCUAGGCCUUCACUAGAGUGACACAAGUGUAUUUCCCAAAUUAAGAAGACAUCUCUGCUUUCAAUUAGCAUUCCUU